Molecule: ribosomal RNA, 253 nt
Filed under: uncultured bacterium
Lineage: Bacteria
Description: partial 16S ribosomal RNA
Rfam family: Bacterial small subunit ribosomal RNA
Source: RNAcentral
UACGUAGGCAGCGAGCGUUGUUCGGAGUUACUGGGCGUAAAGCGUGCGUAGGCGGUGUCUUAAGUUUGUUGUGAAAUCUCCCGGCUUAACCGGGAGGGUGCGGCGAAUACUGAGAUGCUGGAGUGCCGGAGAGGUAAGCGGAAUUCCUGGUGUAGCGGUGAAAUGCGUAGAUAUCAGGAGGAACACCUGCGGUGUAGACGGCUUACUGGACGGUAACUGACGCUGAGGCACGAAAGCGUGGGGAGCAAACAGG